RNAcentral lists this ribosomal RNA (396 nucleotides) under uncultured bacterium. RNAcentral's name for it is "partial 16S ribosomal RNA". It matches the Rfam family "Bacterial small subunit ribosomal RNA", at positions 523 to 918 of the family's 1533-position model. The record is from RNAcentral.
AUACGUAGGGGGCGAGCGUUGUCCGGAAUGAUUGGGCGUAAAGGGCGCGUAGGCGGCCCGGUAAGUCUGGAGUGAAAGUCCUGUUUUUAAGAUGGGAAUUGCUUUGGAUACUGUCGGGCUUGAGUGCAGGAGCGGUAAGUGGAAUUCCCAGUGUAGCGGUGAAAUGCGUAGAGAGUGGAAGGAACACCAGUGGGGAAGGCGAGUGACUGGACUGUAACAGACGCUGUGGCGCGAAAGUGUGGGGAGCAAACAGGAUUAGAUACCCUGGUAGUCCACACUGUAAACGAUGAAUGCGAGGUGUAGGGGGAUCGACCCCUUCUGUGCCGCAGUCAACACAAGAAGCAUGCCGCCUGGGGAGUACGGCCGCAAGGUUGAAACUCAAAUGAAUUGACGGGG